GAUGAACGCUAGCGAUAGGCUUAACACAUGCAAGUCGAGGGGUAACGUGUUGGAAGCUUGCUUCCGAUGACGACGACCGGCGGAUGGGUGCGUAACGCGUAUGCAACUUGCCUCACAGUGGAGAAUAACCCGGAGAAAUCCGGACUAAUACUCCAUACACUCUUAAGUACGCCUGUACAUGAGAGGAAAGAUUUAUCGCUGUGAGAUAGGCAUGCGUCCUAUUAGGUAGUUGGUGAGGUAACGGCUCACCAAGCCGACGAUAGGUAGGGGUGCUGAGAGGCAGAUCCCCCACAGUGGGACUGAGACACGGCCCAAACUCCUACGGGAGGCAGCAGUGAGGAAUAUUGGUCAAUGGAGGAAACUCUGAACCAGCCAAGUCGCGUGAAGGAAGAAUGUCCUAAGGAUUGUAAACUUCUUUAGCGAGCGAGUAAGGACUUCCACGUGAUGGGAGUUUGAAAGUAGCUCGAGAAUAAGUAUCGGCUAACUCCGUG
RNAcentral lists this ribosomal RNA (491 nucleotides) under uncultured bacterium. Its description in RNAcentral is "partial 16S ribosomal RNA". It matches the Rfam family "Bacterial small subunit ribosomal RNA", at positions 28 to 507 of the family's 1533-position model. The record is from RNAcentral.